AGCGAGCUGAAUUCAAAGAUCCCUUCGGGGUGAUUUGUUGGACGCUAGCGGCGGAUGGGUGAGUAACACGUGGGCAAUCUGCCCUAAAGACUGGGAUACCACUUGGAAACAGGUGCUAAUACCGGAUAACAACAUGAAUCGCAUGAUUCAAGUUUGAAAGGCGGCGUAAGCUGUCACUUUAGGAUGAGCCCGCGGCGCAUUAGCUAGUUGGUGGGGUAAAGGCCUACCAAGGCAAUGAUGCGUAGCCGAGUUGAGAGACUGAUCGGCCACAUUGGGACUGAGACACGGCCCAAACUCCUACGGGAGGCAGCAGUAGGGAAUCUUCCACAAUGGACGCAAGUCUGAUGGAGCAACGCCGCGUGAGUGAAGAAGGUUUUCGGAUCGUAAAGCUCUGUUGUUGGUGAAGAAGGAUAGAGGCAGUAACUGGUCUUUAUUUGACGGUAAUCAACCAGAAAGUCACGGCUAACUACGUGCCAGCAGCCGCGGUAAUACGUAGGUGGCAAGCGUUGUCCGGAUUUAUUGGGCGUAAAGCGAGCGCAGGCGGAAUGAUAAGUCUGAUGUGAAAGCCCACGGCUCAACCGUGGAACUGCAUCGGAAACUGUCAUUCUUGAGUGCAGAAGAGGAGAGUGGAAUUCCAUGUGUAGCGGUGGAAUGCGUAGAUAUAUGGAAGAACACCAGUGGCGAAGGCGGCUCUCUGGUCUGCAACUGACGCUGAGGCUCGAAAGCAUGGGUAGCGAACAGGAUUAGAUACCCUGGUAGUCCAUGCCGUAAACGAUGAGCGCUAGGUGUUGGGGACUUUCCGGUCCUCAGUGCCGCAGCAAACGCAUUAAGCGCUCCGCCUGGGGAGUACGACCGCAAGGUUGAAACUCAAAGGAAUUGACGGGGGCCCGCACAAGCGGUGGAGCAUGUGGUUUAAUUCGAAGCAACGCGAAGAACCUUACCAGGUCUUGACAUCCUGUGCUACACCUAGAGAUAGGUGGUUCCCUUCGGGGACGCAGAGACAGGUGGUGCAUGGCUGUCGUCAGCUCGUGUCGUGAGAUGUUGGGUUAAGUCCCGCAA
Molecule: ribosomal RNA, 1059 nt
Filed under: Lactobacillus delbrueckii
Lineage: Bacteria; Bacillati; Bacillota; Bacilli; Lactobacillales; Lactobacillaceae
Description: bacterial SSU rRNA
Rfam family: Bacterial small subunit ribosomal RNA
Source: RNAcentral